AGAGUUUGAUCAUGGCUCAGGAUGGACGCUGGCGGCGUGCCUAACACAUGCAAGUCGAACCGAAGCUUGAGGAAUGAUUUCUUUCGGAAUGAAUUCUGAUAUGACUUAGUGGCGGACGGGUGAGUAACACGCGAGCAACCUGCCUUUCAGAGGGGGAUAACGGCUGGAAACGGUCGCUAAUACCGCAUGAUAUGUUUGGAUGGCAUCAUUUGAACAUCAAAGAUUUAUCGCUGAAAGAUGGGCUCGCGUCUGAUUAGAUAGUUGGUGAGGUAACGGCUCACCAAGUCGACGAUCAGUAGCCGGACUGAGAGGUUGAACGGCCACAUUGGGACUGAGAUACGGCCCAGACUCCUACGGGAGGCAGCAGUGGGGAAUAUUGCACAAUGGGGGAAACCCUGAUGCAGCAACGCCGCGUGAAGGAAGACGGUUUUCGGAUUGUAAACUUCUUUUCUUUGUGAAGAAACAAAUGACGGUAGCAAAGGAAUAAGCAUCGGCUAACUACGUGCCAGCAGCCGCGGUAAUACGUAGGAUGCAAGCGUUAUCCGGAUUUACUGGGUGUAAAGGGAGCGCAGGCGGGACUUCAAGUUGGAUGUGAAAGGUCAAGGCUUAACCUUGGCACUGCAUCCAAAACUGUAGUUCUUGAGUGGAGUAGAGGUAAGCGGAAUUCCGAGUGUAGCGGUGAAAUGCGUAGAUAUUCGGAGGAACACCAGUGGCGAAGGCGGCUUACUGGGCUCUAACUGACGCUGAGGCUCGAAAGUGUGGGGAGCAAACAGGAUUAGAUACCCUGGUAGUCCACACUGUAAACGAUGAUAGCUAGGUGUGGGGGGUCUGACCCCUUCCGUGCCGGAGUUAACGCAAUAAGCUAUCCACCUGGGGAGUA
Molecule: ribosomal RNA, 880 nt
Filed under: uncultured bacterium
Lineage: Bacteria
Description: bacterial SSU rRNA
Rfam family: Bacterial small subunit ribosomal RNA
Source: RNAcentral